Molecule: ribosomal RNA, 1051 nt
Filed under: uncultured anaerobic ammonium-oxidizing bacterium
Lineage: Bacteria
Description: bacterial SSU rRNA
Rfam family: Bacterial small subunit ribosomal RNA
Source: RNAcentral
UUCGCAAUGCCCGAAAGGGUGACGAAGCGACGCCGCGUGUGGGAAGAAGGCCCUAGGGUUGUAAACCGCUGUCAGGAGUUAAGAAAUAUAGAGGUGUUAAUAGCGCUUCUAUUUGACGAAAGCUCCAGAGGAAGCCACGGCUAACUCUGUGCCAGCAGCCGCGGUAAUACAGAGGUGGCAAGCGUUGUUCGGAAUUAUUGGGCGUAAAGAGCACGUAGGCGGCCCUGCAAGUCAGUUGUGAAAGCCUUCCGCUUAACGGGAGAACGGCAGCUGAUACUACGGGGCUAGAGUACGGGAGGGGAGAGUGGAACUUCUGGUGGAGCGGUGAAAUGCGUAGAUAUCAGAAGGAACGCAGGCGGCGAAAGCGACUCUCUGGACCGAAAUUGACGCUGAGUGUGCGAAAGCUAGGGGAGCAAACGGGAUUAGAUACCCCGGUAGUCCUAGCCGUAAACGAUGGGCACUAAGUAGAGGGGGUUUUGAUUAUCUCUCUGCCGGAGCUAACGCAUUAAGUGCCCCGCCUGGGGAGUACGGCCGCAAGGCUAAAACUCAAAAGAAUUGACGGGGGCUCGCACAAGCGGUGGAGCAUGUGGCUUAAUUCGAUGCAACGCGAAGAACCUUACCGGGGCUUAACAUGAUAGAAGUAGAAACCCGAAAGGGCGACGAACGGUAUCCAAUCCGUGACUAUCACAGGUGUUGCAUGGCUGUCGUCAGCUCGUGUAGUGAGACGUUGGGUUAAGUCCCCUAACGAGCGAAGCCCUUGUCUUUAGUUGCCAUCAGGUUAAGCUGGGCACUCUAAAGAGACUGCCGUCGUUAAGACGGAGGAAGGUGGGGAUGACGUCAAGUCAUCAUGGCCCUUAUGUCCCGGGCUGCACACGUGCUACAAUGGUCGAUACAAAGGGAUGCUAAAUCGUGAAAUGGAGCGAAACCCAUAAGGUCGAUCCCAGUUCAGAUUGGAGGCUGCAACUCGCCUGCAUGAAGUUGGAAUCGCUAGUAAUCGCAGGUCAGCUAUACUGCGGUGAAUGUGUUCCUGAGCCUUGUACACACCGCCCGU